This 243-nucleotide long non-coding RNA is filed under the name Hordeum vulgare. Its description in RNAcentral is "long non-coding RNA (HVUL_LNC002777)". The record is from RNAcentral. Lineage: Eukaryota; Viridiplantae; Streptophyta; Magnoliopsida; Poales; Poaceae.
GCAUUGGGGUUGUGGCGCAGUUGGCCAGCGCGUUCGUUCCCUGUGGUCGAGAGUUCGAGCCUCUAUCAACCCAAAAUCGAACACAGUGGUGAUGAAAAUGCUCUCGUGACAACUUGGGUCGUCAUGCCAACUUCUGAUCUUGUAGAUGGCAAGAGCAACUCUGAGCUUUGUUCUAUUGCUCGCCGGAUUGGCUAGGUAAGAUAGUCGUAGUAUCCGCGAGUUUGCAGCCGGGCGGCAUAGCUG